Molecule: regulatory RNA element, 102 nt
Organism: Curvibacter sp.
Lineage: Bacteria; Pseudomonadati; Pseudomonadota; Betaproteobacteria; Burkholderiales; Comamonadaceae
Rfam family: TPP riboswitch aptamer (THI element)
About the family: Vitamin B(1) in its active form thiamin pyrophosphate (TPP) is an essential coenzyme that is synthesised by coupling of pyrimidine and thiazole moieties in bacteria. The previously detected thiamin-regulatory element, thi box was extended, resulting in a new, highly conserved RNA secondary structure, the THI element, which is widely distributed in eubacteria and also occurs in some archaea.
Source: Rfam
CCGUCUUGCCCGGGGUGCACACGCGAUGUGCUGAGAUGGUGAUCCGAACCCGCGAACUUGAUCCGGUUAAUGCCGGCGUAAGAAGAGCCUGACCUGCAUCCA